This 556-nucleotide unclassified non-coding RNA is filed under the name Melitaea cinxia (Glanville fritillary). RNAcentral describes it as "misc RNA ENSMCXG00005007667.1". Lineage: Eukaryota; Metazoa; Arthropoda; Insecta; Lepidoptera; Nymphalidae. The record is from RNAcentral.
AUUUAAAACAAGGUUCUCUCGUCCAGAGUCAUUCGUUCUUCAUCGUCUUCAACAGUUAUUUUUUAAGUACAAUAAAAACAGAAAAAUGAACUUCGCUAAGAUUUUCUUCUUCGCGUUCGCCUGCUUUUUGGCACUCAGUACCGUCUCUGGUGCUCCAAACCCUAAGUUUAAGUUAUUCAAGAGAAUCGAAAAAGUCGGAAGAAAUGUGCGUAAUGGUCUUAUUAAGGCCGGGCCAGCUGUACAGGUGGUUGGUCAAGCUGCCACCAUCGCCAAGGGAUAAACAACCUUAUUUUCUGUUCAAUAAUAAUGAAAAUAGUGUUAUGAUCGCCUCUAAUUGCUUUACUCUAGUCCUGAGAUUAAAAUGUAUUAAUAAGUUACAAUAAAUUACAAUUAUUUAUUUUCCAUUUCUGUCUUUUAUUACCGCCUCAUAACUUUUCAAAACGAAAUAGUAUUUCACUCAAAACCAAAUAAAAAUGCAAUCGCUUCUCGUGGGGUCUGAUGAAAAUAACAAACGAAUAGGUCGUAGUGAUACAUAAUUAUGUUCUUAAGACUGAAU